RNAcentral lists this unclassified non-coding RNA (264 nucleotides) under plant metagenome. Its description in RNAcentral is "partial contains small subunit ribosomal RNA, internal transcribed spacer 1, and 5.8S ribosomal RNA". The record is from RNAcentral.
UUUCCGUAGGUGAACCUGCGGAAGGAUCAUUAUUGAAACUUCAUCCGGGGCGCCGCGGCCCUCGGCCCCGGUGGAAACGCCGUGCUGCGGUGGCCGCGCGUGCACUCGUCCAAACCAAACCCCUGUGAACCUUACGGGAUGGCCCGGGUUAGCGCCCGGUGCCGUUCCGCUUUAUACAAACACUUAUCAAAGAAUGAACUGAAGGCGGUCUGACCGCUGGAUAACAAAAUGAAACAACUUUCAACAACGGAUCUCUUGGCUCUC